AUCUGUGGUGGUUGCUAUGGUUUUGCUAGGUGGUUACUAGGUGAUGUAUAUGCAUGUACAUGUAUAUGCUACGCAACGUGCAAAUACAUGACUCAGCUAUGCACACUAGGUUGCUCUGGCCUAGGGGGACAAAAAACAGGUGGAAUAAUAAUAAUAAUAAGAAGAAUAAGACUUAAGAAGAAAAGUACUGUGAUUGCAUACUGCAAUCACACUAAUUACUCUAUAAUAAAAGUAAUAUAAGGAUUUUUUUUUGAAAAAGCAGUUUUCACAGUCAGUUGAAAUGAGUAGAUCAGAAAGGUGUUUGUACAUAACUUUUUUUAUUUAUUGUACAUCAGAACAGAGCAGAAUAAAAUCCUUUUAAAAACUAAAUUUUGUAUAAAAAAAUAAAUAAAGCAAAAGUAAACAGUUACACUAUAUAACGUGCUUUACAUCUAUCAAAUUAAAUUUAAUUAAAAUUAUCUUGAUCCUGACUCGCCAUUUCUGCCUCUUCUCCGUUUGUGUCGAGUGUCACUGGUGUGCUUCGGCACACGUGUAAAAACACUGGCUCUGAUUGGCUACCACCUCUGUCCCGCAUAACUCGCCACCUGAUUGGCCGAGCCGCACGCAGCGGGAGGCUCCUGGCUGAUGCUGAACUGGGGCAGUUCAGUUCCACCACUGGGGUCACUAUGGUAACCGGUGUAGACAAUGCAGUGCAGCUCUCCCACAGAACGCUGCCCCGUUCGAGUUAUGACGUCAUAGCCACGAUUGUCUAUAUAUAUAGAGAGCUUGCGCACUCUAUUCAGUAAAGUACAGUAAAGUACUGAAUACAGCAGAGGAGGAUUCAGGAUGAGAAGCACAAUAGCGAUAGAAAAGAAGCGUCUUCAGUCAUAUAUUAGUCAAACGGAGGCCAGUAUAAGAAGGAGAUUGGAGGAGACUGGUUCAGAAAUGAAUAAACUUCAAGAUCAAAUAAUGACAGAAAGGCAGAGGUCCAAUAAACGUAUUCAAGAUAUGAAUUGUGAGCUGGAGAGGUUAGAGAAGUGGGCUAAAAAUAAAAAAAAAUACAUUGACGAUGAGAUUGAGGAAGUAAAGAACAGGGCUAGUAGAACAAUGAAUGAACUGAAAGCAGAGAUGACAACAGAGAUGGGAUCAGUGGGGGAGGCUGAGCGUAAUGAAAUCUUUGCCGCGAUAAAGAUAAUAUUUAAACAUUCUCAGCAACAGAUAACAAGACUAGAAGUCAAGAAGAAGGCAGCAAAUGAGACGUAUUCUAAAGGCUGGAGAAAACUGUGGGAACAGAUCGAUAAUGAAACGGAAAAGAGCAAUGACCAUGUUUUGAGACUAUCGAAGAUAAUGGUCAAAACACACAUAGCCUGUGUGGAAUACAUUGACAAAGAGACGGCUGACAUGAAACAGCAUAUAGCAGAUUCUUCAAGAUACAUUGAUUCAUUGGAAAAGCAGAAAAGAAAAGCUGAGCUACCAUGGCUGUGUGCUGCUGCGCUCUCUGCUUUAGGUCUGCUUGCUUUUGCAUUUUUAAUGAGGUAGUGCGCCUCCAGGCGCUGAACACGUGCUAAAACCACCGGAGAGCGGCUCGCUCCAGGUGCUGAACACGGGCUAAAAUCACCGGAGAGCGGCUCGCUCCAGGUGCUGAACACGGGCUAAAACCACCGGAGAGCGGCUCGCUCCAGGUGCUGAACACGGGCUACAACCACCGGAGAGCGGCUCGCUCCAGGUGCUGAACACGGGCUAAAACCACCGGAGAGCGGCUCGCUCCAGGUGCUGAACACGGGCUAAAACCACCGGAGAGCGGCUCGCUCCAGGUGCUGAACACGGGCUAAAACCACCGGAGAGCGGCUCGCUCCAGGCGCUGAACCUAGCUGAACAUACGAUUUACUAUAAUAAAACCAUCGGAAGAAAAAGUUGCUGUUUUUACUUACAGGCUGUGAGAUGGUGGUCGAUCGUUGUGACGGUACAGAUUUUGCGCCCCUGACUUUUGACAUUGAUGUGAUGCCAUAAAAUGAUGCCCACCAACAGCAUCAUGUGGGCAAUGUUAGUGUACAUUACAGUAUAAUGAGUGAACACAGUGUUUAAAACCCCCUCAUACCACCUGAGAAUGACCCACCAGUAAUAGUGGAGCCAAUAAGAUAGACAGUGAGUGUAGGAACAAGGUGGUGAUCAUAAUAUUUUGAUUUGACUGUAUUUAGUAUUUGUGUGAACAAAUUUAUAGAUUCAUUUAUUGG
Astyanax mexicanus (Mexican tetra) is the source of this 2213-nucleotide long non-coding RNA. RefSeq lists it as uncharacterized. The transcript is spliced from 2 exons. The record is from RefSeq and is a predicted model, not a curated record. NCBI's taxonomy places the organism in Eukaryota, Metazoa, Chordata, Actinopteri, Characiformes, Acestrorhamphidae.